AUGCGUCUUAAAUGUGUAUGCCUUUUUUUUCUGUAAUGUAAAUUUUGUCUAAUGCUAUUAGAAAAAUAGAACUAGAAAGACAGUGCCUGAACAAGGUUAUAGUUUUUGCUGCUAUUGUGAAUUGUUCUCUCAAAAUUCAUAUCUCUACCUUUCUGGGAUUUCCAAUGUUAUACCGCGAUGCAUUUGGCGUUAGCUCUGAAUUGAGCAUGUUUAAGCUCUUUUAUUCUGUGUGUAUGUAUACAAAAAGAGUAGAGAAUAGAAUGGGAUUUGAAUUUGUCACAAUAAUGUUAUCCCC
This 295-nucleotide long non-coding RNA is filed under the name Glycine max (soybean). Its description in RNAcentral is "long non-coding RNA (GMAX_LNC002268)". Lineage: Eukaryota; Viridiplantae; Streptophyta; Magnoliopsida; Fabales; Fabaceae. The record is from RNAcentral.